AUGCGUGUUUCGGCAAGUCAGGCUACAGGCAAAGCUGAGGUUGCUGCUCCUUCCAAAAACUCCAGUGACUUUGGAAAAAUGGUUGAUGAUGGUUCCUCACCACCUCUCUGCCUGCCCCAUGACCCUGGAGGAGGUCUGUAUCUCGGGAGAAUGCUGGAGGCCUUCUUUGGCUUUCACAGGCCAGCCUGUCAUGCAGAGUCUCUCCAGAGAUCCUUCCCUGCCCUCCGUGGUCACCGUGGGAGCUGUGUAUCCCUGCGAUCCCUGGUAAUGCUCCUCCAGGGAAACCUGCGUGCGGUGUGGCAGGGGAUUAGUUUGAAAUGGAGAGACACGUACUCGGGGCCUUGCCAAGUCGUUCUGGAAAGAGCAUGGCGAUGCUUCAGUUUCCAUGGAAACCAGGUGACUGUCAGCUCACCUUUGGCCCUGGAAACAGCCUCCAGCUUCUGGGAACAACUGCAAGGCUCCUGCUUAUUAUGA
Molecule: long non-coding RNA, 474 nt
Filed under: Macaca mulatta (Rhesus monkey)
Lineage: Eukaryota; Metazoa; Chordata; Mammalia; Primates; Cercopithecidae
Description: lncRNA (ENSMMUG00000058748.1)
Source: RNAcentral